Molecule: ribosomal RNA, 468 nt
Filed under: uncultured bacterium
Lineage: Bacteria
Description: partial 16S ribosomal RNA
Rfam family: Bacterial small subunit ribosomal RNA
Source: RNAcentral
GACGAACGCUGGCGGCGUGCUUAACACAUGCAAGUAGAACGGAAAGGCCCUGCUUUUGUGGGGUGCUCGAGUGGCGAACGGGUGAGUAACACGUGAGUAACCUGCCCUUGACUGUGGGAUAACUUCAGGAAACUGGGGCUAAUACCGGAUAGGAGCUCCUGCGGCAUGGGGGGGGUUGGAAAGUUUCGGCGGUUGGGGAUGGACUCGCGGCUUAUCAGCUUGUUGGUGGGGUAGUGGCUUACCAAGGCUUUGACGGGUAGCCGGCCUGAGAGGGUGACCGGCCACAUUGGGACUGAGAUACGGCCCAGACUCCUACGGGAGGCAGAAGUGGGGAAUAUUGCACAAUGGGCGGAAGCCUGAUGCAGCAACGCCGCGUGCGGGAUGACGGCCUUCGGGUUGUAAUCCGCUUUCGCCUGUGACGAAGCGUGAGUGACGGUAAUGGGUAAAGAAGCCCCGGCUAACUACGUG